UGCCAGCAGCCGCGGUAAUACAGAGGGUGCAAACGUUGUUCGGAAUCACUGGGCAUAAAGCGCGCGUAGGCGGCUUUGUUAGUGCGGAGUGAAAGCCCACGGCUUACCCGUGGAAUUGCUUCGCAUACUGCAGAGCUCGAGGACGGUAGGGGAAAGCGGAACUCUUGGUGGAGCGGUGAAAUGCGUAGAUAUCAAGAGGAACACCAAAGGCGAAGGCAGCUUUCUGGUCCGUUUCUGACGCUGAGGUGCGAAAGCCAGGGUAGCGAACGGGAUUAGAUA
Molecule: ribosomal RNA, 279 nt
Filed under: uncultured bacterium
Lineage: Bacteria
Description: partial 16S ribosomal RNA
Rfam family: Bacterial small subunit ribosomal RNA
Source: RNAcentral